Molecule: long non-coding RNA, 27176 nt
Filed under: Populus trichocarpa (black cottonwood)
Lineage: Eukaryota; Viridiplantae; Streptophyta; Magnoliopsida; Malpighiales; Salicaceae
Description: long non-coding RNA (PTRI_LNC003924)
Source: RNAcentral
CUCCAUCUUCAGUUCAAAAUGACUUUUUACAUUUUCAGCAUCACACACCGAUUUGGCAAGAGAUGUCUUCCCCAAGCCUCCCAUUCCUACUAGCGGAAGGACAAAUGGAUGUGCAUCACCAACCUUAGAAGGUGCUGCUAAAAGGUUGAUUAUGCGUUCUUUGUCUUUGUCUCUUCCGAUAAGACCGGAAAAGCUUUCAAAGGAUCGGUUCAUCUCUGUUUCCUCAUGCAAGACAUGCCUACAAUCAAUAGGCUGCUCGCUGAGGUUGAACUCAGACUUAAGAGAUGAAAUCUCAGCUAGUCUUUCUAUGAUGCUCUUUAUCUNNNNNNNNNNNNNNNNNNNNNNNNNNNNNNNNNNNNNNNNNNNNNNNNNNNNNNNNNNNNNNNNNNNNNNNNNNNNNNNNNNNNNNNNNNNNNNNNNNNNNNNNNNNNNNNNNNNNNNNNNNNNNNNNNNNNNNNNUGCAUCAUACAAGACUUCUCUGAGCAUAUGGAGCCAGAGCCGAAUCCUCUCAUUCUUUGAUUGUUGCUUCUCAGCAUCGGACAGCACCACGUUGAUGGCUUUCAAUCUCUCUUCAAGACGUGCAAGGUCAUCUUCAAGUCCCCAUGCCAAACGAAGUUCUUGAACAGCAAAAGAGCCUAACUUCCCUAAAAGGGAUUUUGCAAUAUCGGCUGCAAAAGCUUCUGCCAUUUUCGUUUGAGUGAGGGGAGGAGUGUUUGAUAGGGAAAAAAUGAUUGAGAUAAGAGUGGAGUUCCGCUUUCUGAGUGGAGAGGAGAAGUCGUUGAGUCUUCUUAAUUAAAAUGUACAUUGGCUCCAUGGAUCGCUUGUUUAAUUGGUUGUUCUCUUUCUUUUCUUUUCUUCAUUAUAUUAGCGAUCCUUAAUUGUUUUUUGAGUAGUUGACCAAGAAGCUAUGAAUCCACCCUACGUGUUAUCUACUUAAUCCUCAAUUGUGAAGUUGAGGAGGGAAAAUAAUAUAUAAUAAAUUGAAUACAUUAUUAACUUAUUUGAUACAUUAUAUUUGAUAUCAAUUGAAAUUGUGGCUUGGAAAACAGGGAUAUAUGUUAAUAUCACUAAAAUGCAAAAUGCAAAAAUUGAAAUUGAAAUUGUGGCUUGGAAAACAGGGAUAUAUGUUAAUAUAUGUUAAUAUCACUAAAUUGAAAUUGUGGCCGCCCCACCCACAGUUUCCACAUUUCACACCGAGGAAUCACUAAAAUGCAAAAUCCACAUUCCCAGCGGCGGACGACCCUUGAUGCUUUGAAAAAAAUAUACAGCUCCAAAUUCUAUCUGACAAUCUCUACACUAUCAUAUAUUUGGGCCAACCACGCCAUGGUAUCAAAUUUAGGGAUUGUUUAUUUUUGUAUUUUCAAAGUAUUAUUAAUAAAAAUUAAAUAUAAAAUAAUAUAUAUCUGAUUUGGAAGAGUUUGAUGAAAAAAUAAAAUAUUAGAAUAAUACAAACUUUUUAAAAGUUCUGUUGAUUACUAACUGCAUAUAUCAAGUGAGCCCUUUUAUAAUCAAACUAUCAUUGGUAUUCUUUUUUGUUUUGUAAGUUUUUCAUAACCAGAUAUGUAAGUAUUUUCCUAGACGUAUUAUAAACGUAAAAUACACCAAUUCAAUAAUAAAUAAAAUAUACUAAAUUAGAAAAUUAAGAAAAAAACCAAUGAAAUAAAAGUUGAAAGCAAUUCAAUAUUUUUUCUUUUUAUGAAGUUAGCAUGAUUUGCGGGUUUGUCAAGGUAACUUGAAUUGAUCUAGGUCAACCCAAGUUAGCUUGCCAAAUUCAUGACCUGAAUCAUGAGACCAUAAUAACCUCAUAUAUAGCAAAUCAAAACAAAUUAUGAAGCUCAAUUCUCAAUCAACUCAAUAUUAAGGAAUGAAAUUGAAAAAAAAAGUAAUUGAAAAAUAAUAAAAAAUUUGACCUGAGUUAACCUGCUAAACUCGUGACUUAAGUUAGGAAAUCGAGAUAAUCUCACAGAAAGUAAGCAAAAAUAUAAUCUGAGUCAGCUCAAGUUAACCUUUCACGCCCUCUCAGGUUAAAGAAAAAUAAACUCGAGUCAACUAGGUUAACCCGCCAGACAUAUGACCCGAGUCAUGAGAUCGAGACAACCUUAUAGAAAACAAACUAAAAUAAAUCAUGAAGUCUAAUUCAUAAUCAACCCAAAGUUUAAUAGUGAAAUUGAGAAAAAAAAAUAUCAAUUAAAAAUAAAAAAAACUUGAGUCAAGCGAGUUAACUCGUUUCGAAAAAUGAAAUUAGAAGAAUAAAAAUAAUUAUAGAAAAAAAAUACUAUUAAAAUAAAUAGUGUUUUAUAAAGCUGUAUAGUAAAAACAUCAUCUUUUUUAGGCCCUGUUGAAGAGACUAAUUCGACCGGUUUUUCUAAAAUUUUGAAUAUUUUUUGAAAAAGAUUCAAAAUAAUAUUUUUAGUAUUUUAUAAAUAUUUUAAUGGGAAAAUAUAAAGAAAAAACAAUAUCUAAAAAUAUUUUUUUAAUUUUUUUUUUUUAAUUUUUUUUUUUAAAUACCCUACACCAAGAAAAAAAAACUGCCUUAUUUUCUGAUAUGUGUUUGAAUUAUUGUAUUUGGCAUGGACCCUUAUCUUUGACCAUUGAAAUUUAUUUUAAUUUUAAAAGUUCUUUUUGGUGGAAUUUGUGUGGUUUUACUAGUGCACUAAAUGCACCCAUUUCAAUAAAGGAGCUUAGCCGGUGCACUUCUUUGGCUUGGACCCACAUCUUUGACCAUUGUUUGCCCUUAUUUUAUUUCUACUUUAAAGGAGCCUGAAUUAAUUUAUUAAAUUCGUGAUUUGAAUCAGAAGAUUGAUAUCAUUUUAUAAAUAAUUAAUUUCUUAUUAUGACCAUUGUUUGCUUUUUUUUUUUUACUCUAAAGUUUGUGGAUGGGUCCGAAGAAUUUGGGUGAACCCCUAACUUUUGCAAAGAGAGCAAACAGUUGUUUUUUCGUCUUGUAGUGAGUUAAUUAUUGCCUACAAAUAAUUGUUUAGGGUGUUUUUUUAGUUUUGAAAAGUUGUUUAGAAAUGUAUUAAAAUAUUUUUUAUUUUUAAAAAAUUAUUUUUGAUAAAUAAUCUAAAAAUAUAAAAAAAUUCAUUUUAAAUAAAAAUAAAUCAAACACACUCUUAUUAGAAGUUCAUUAAAACUGCAGAGCAUAGUAAAUUCUGAGUAUUGAUAUGAAGAGGAAAAACGCCACACUCUUUAUUUUAUUCCGUAAUGUAAUUUUAACUUUGCAUUCAGAAAUUUUCAGCUAAAACACAAAUAUGUUAAUUCCAUGACUGCCAAUAAUUUUCACAAUCCCAAUUAGCACUGAUUAUUUUUUAUAAAAAUAAAUAAUUAAAUUAGUUUUUUUAAAAAAACCAAAAUCAAACCAAAACUAGUUCAAACUAAUUAAUUUUGAUUAUUUAAAAAAAAACCAGUUAAAACCAAUCAUGCCGUUCUAAAUAGUUGUUUGCUUGCAAUAUUUGUCGUUGUAAAUUAUGAAAUGGCUACUUGGAAUGCUAUUUGUGUGGAAGUGAGACUUUUUUUUAUUUAGGUGAUGGAGUAUUUAUAUAAUUGACUUCAUUGACUAAUCAGCAGGCAUCCUCCAUCGAACGUGUUGACAGGUUCAGCCUACAUCAUGAAACACAGGGACCUGCGUGGGUCCCUUCGCUUUUAUACAUGUAAAUGUACACAGUCACCCAUUAUUACAAAGAAAACCUAAAUGAAUGGGAAAAGUAUUGUACUGUUACAAUGUUUUUUUACUUUGGUUUUUUUUUAUAUAUGGUUUAUUUUCAUAUAUUUUACUUUUUUAUGAUUUUUUUAAAAUUAUUUUUACUGGUUUUAUUUCUUUAAUAUUGAGAUGGUUAAAAAUUUAAUUUUAUAAUUUUUUUUUUAUUUUUUCUAUGUAUGAGGUUAGCAUGGUUUGCGAGUUUGUCUAGAUAACACAGGUUGUCUUAUUUUUUUAUAGAUUUGGUGGGUUUUUUAUUCUAUUUUUACUUAUAUUAUUAAAAAAAUAGUUUUUUUAAAAAAACUAUGUUAUUAAACUUUAUAAAAUAAUAAAAAUUAAAAAAUUAGUGGGAAAUCAAACUAGAAUUAAGCCAGACUAGGCUUGUUUUCUCUUUAUAUAUUAUAAAUAUUAUUGGGGAUGAAGUUUCCUUUAAUUAUGAGAAUUAAGACUUAUCUAGUUAUUAAUUUCAAUAUGUCUUGUUAAUUUGAAUUAUAAAAAUUUAAACUUACAUAAAUUAAAUCAAAAUAAAUUAUGAAACUUAAAACUGAAUAAUGAAAUUGAAAAAAUUACUAAUUAAUAAAGAAAAAUAAACUCAAGUCAACUGGGUUACCUGACCAGAUUUAUGACCCGAAUCACAAGAUCGAGAUAACCUUAUAGAAAAUAAAUUUUAACUUAAGUUAAAUGGGUUAACUUCAUCAUGCUACUUGUAUUAUUAGCGACAAGUAGCUUGCUCCUUCUCCUCCCAGCUUCAGCUUUUAGUUUGUUUAGAAGGGACGAAUUGAUAUGUUAAGCACAAUUAUUUAAAUGAUCACACACAAUAUUUUAAAUAAGAUAAGUUGAAUAAAAUAAAGAGGCAAGCCAACAAUUCAGAACAACCAAAUGUUUAUCAAUUUAUUAAUGACAAAUUAUCACAUAUAGCUAGCCAAGAAAAUUACACAAAGCAGACACUCCGCAGACACUCCGAGCCUUCAGCUGAUCUUCGUAAGUAACAAACUAUUGUAGAAGAUCUAAUUUUUUACUCUAAAAAUCAAGUUGGCUCACAGGGAAGCAUGGAUAAACUAACCUGAAUUAAUCUAUUAAAUUCAGAUAAUUUUAUAAAUAAUUAAUUUCUUAUUAUGAGUGCAUUACAGCUGCGGAGCAUCUUUGACCAUUGCUUACCUCCUUUUUUUUUUUUUUGCUCAAAAUGGUUUGUGGGUGGGUAACAUGGGUUCGUAGAAUUUGGGUUAACCCCUAACUUUUGCAAAGACCAAAUAGAGCAAACAACUGUUUUUCGUCUUGUAGUGAGUUAAUUAUUGCCUACAAAUAAAUUUUAUAUCGUGUUUGAGAUUAGGGUAACGAUUUAGAAAAAUAUUAAAAUAUUUUUUUUAUUUUUUUAAAAUUAUUUUUAACAGCAUAACAAUCCAAAAACAUAAAAAAUCUUAUUUUAAGAUAAAAAAAUCAAACACACCCUUACUAUUAGUGCAUUAAAAGCAUGUCAAACAAAUUAUGAAGCUUAAUUCUCAAUCAACUCGAUCAAUAUUAAAGAAUGAAAUUGAAAAAAAAAUAAUCAAAAAAUAAUAAAAAAUUUGAUCCGAGUUAACCUGCUAAAUCCGUGACUUGGGUUAGGAGAUUGAGAUAAUCUCAUAGAAAGUAAGCAAAAAAAUAACUCGAGUCGGCUCUGGUUAACCUUCCAAACCUACUACCAAGGUUAUAAGACUGUGAUAAUCUUAUAGAGAGAAAAUUAAAAUAAAUUAUAAAGUUCAAUUUUCAAUAAGUCCAAUGUUUAAGGUUGAAAUUGAAAAGAAAAAAUGAAUCUAAAAACAAGACACAAUAAAACGACUUGAGUCUACUCGGGUUAUCCUGUAAAACACGUUACUUGAGUCACAAGACUGAGAUAACCUCAUAUAAAUCAAACCAAAAUAAAUUUUUAAAAAUAUUAUUUAAACAUAUUUUCAAAAAAAAAUUAAAAAAAUAUCCUACACCAGAAAAAAAAAAAAAAAACUGCCAAAUUUUCUGAUAUGUGCUUGAAUUAUUGUCUUUGGCACGGACCCUUAUCUUUGACCAUUGAAAUUUAUUUUAAUUUUAAAAGUUCUUUUUGGUGGAAUUUAUGUGCACCCAUUUCAUUAAAGGAGCUUAUGAUCGAACACUCAUUUUGAGCCAAUGAUCAUGCACUUGAAAUAAAAUAUAAUCUUGGAAGAAACAUUUUGAGAUCCACUCGCGAACAGAACGCAAGCCAGCAUCUUCCAUGUGCCAUCCACAAAUGCACGUUAGUUAUUUUUUUAAAAUAUUUUUUAGUUCAAUAUAUUUGAAAAUAAUAUAUUUUUUAUUCGUUAGAAAUAUCUUCAACAUCUACCCAUCUAGCACAUCUAUAAUAUAGAACAAUCAAUUUUAAUAAAACAUCUUUUGAAACGCAUUUGUCGCUGUGAAUUAGGAAUUGGCCACUUGGGAAUUGGGAUGCUAGUUGUCUGGGGAGUGAGACUUAUUUAUUUAUUUAUUUAGGUGAUGGAGUAUUUACCGUUGGAUGUGACCAUUGUUCUUCCCUAUGUGGACACCACCACAUGCCGGGUGCAUGCUUCUCUACAAAUAUGUUUUCUUUAAUUAAUUAAUUUAAAGAAAACUUGACGCCUUUUGUCGAUAAAAUACGUUUUAAGGGUGAGUAAAAUAUAUAUAUAUAUAUAUAUAUAUAUAUAUAUAUAUAUAUAUAUAUAUAUAUAUAUAUAUAUAUAUUUGCGAUGGUAAUGAAAUGAAAUGACUGACAAAUGACGAGUCGUUUUUGGAAAAUUGGUGGUUUUGAGAGCUUAUUGGAGCCAAUAAUGAUGCAUUUGAAAUAAAAUAUAAUCUUGGAAGAAACAUUUUGAGAUCCACUCCCGAACAUAACGCAAGCCAGCAUAUUUCAAAUAUGUUUGGGAUGGUGGUGUAAAUGUCUUUAAAAAUUUUAAUUUUUUUUAAUUAAAAUUUAAUAUGAUUUAUACGUUUUAAAUUGUUUUAAUAUACUGAUAUCAAAAAUAAUUUUAAAAAAAUAAAAAAUAUCAUUGACAUGCAUUUCAGCACAAAAAAUUAUUUGAAAAGCAACCGCUACCACACUGUCAAAUACCCUCAUGUGUCAUCUAAAAAAUUACAGUUAUUUUUUAAAAUAUUUUGUAUUUAAAUAUAUUUUAAAAUAAUAUUUUUUAUUUUUUAUAAAUAUUUUUUACACAUCUAAAAUAUAUAUAAAAAAAUAAAUAAAAAUAAAUAAAUUUUAAUAAAAAAUCUUUUGAAAGCAUUUGUCGCUGUGAAUUAUGAAUUGGCUGCUUGGGAAUUGGGAUGCUAGUUGUCUGGGGAGUGAGACUUUUUUUAUAUAAUUUAUUUAGGUGAUGGAGUAUUUACCGUUAGAUUUGACCAUUGUUAUUCCCUAUGUGGACACCACCACAUGCUGGGUGCAUGUUUCUCUGAAAAUAUGUUUUCUUUUGUCAAUAAGAUACGUAUAUUGGCUUCCUCCAGUAUAUUAUUUAGUCAACGUUUUUUAUCCAGUAUUAAAAGUUUUUUUUUGGUGGAAUUUAUGUGCUUUUACUAAAUGCACCCAUUUCAAUAAAGGAGCUUAGCCGGUGCACUUCUUUGACUUGGACCCACAUCUUUGACCAUUGUUUGCUUCUUCUAUCUUCUUUUACUCUAAAAAUCAAGUUGGCUCCCAGGUAGCAUGGAUAAACUAACCUAAAUUAACCUAUUAAAUUCAGAUAAUUUUAUAAAUAAUUAAUUUCUUAUUAUGAGUGCAUUACAGCUGCGGAGCAUCUUUGACCAUUGCUUGCCUCUUUUUUUUUUCACUCAAAAUGGUUUGUGGAUGGGUAACAUGGGUCCGCAGAAUUUGGGUGAACCCCUAACUUUUUCAAAGACCAAGUAGAACAAACAGCUGUUUUUUCGUCUUGUAGUGAGUUAAUUAUUACCUACAAAUAAAUUUUUAUUUAAAAGUAUGUUUGAGAUUGGAGUAAUUAUUUAAAAAUAUAUUAAAAUAAUAUUUUUUAUUUUUUAAAUUAUUUUUAACAGCAUAUCAAAGAUAAUCCAAAAACAUCAAAAAUCUCAUUUUAAGAUAAAAAAUGUCUGGGGAGUGAGACUUUUUAUUUAUUUAGGUGAUGGAGUAUUUACCGUUGGAUUUGACCAUUGUUUUUCCCUAUGUGGACACCACCACAUGCUGGGUGCAUGCUUCUCUAAAAAUAUGUUUUCUUUAAUUAAUUAAUUUAAAGAAAACUUAGACGCCUUUUGUCAAUAAAAUACGUUUUAGAGGGAUUAAAAAAAAUAAAAAAACUAAUUAAAUUGAGAAAAUAAAAAAAAUCAAACCAUAAAAAAAAACCAAUUAAACUAGUUAGAAUUUAAAAAAAACCGACAGAUUUAGUUUCAGUUUUAUAAACAUAAAAUUAAAAAAACAAGAAAAAUACUUGAGUUAAAAAAAAAAACCGAGUAAAACCCUUUACUUUAUUCCUUAAUGUAAUUUUAACUUUGCAUACAGAAAUUUGCAGCUAAAACACGAAUACGUUAAUCCCAUGACUGCCCACAGUUUUCACAUUACACACGGCGUAAUCACUAAAAACCACAUUCCCAGUAAUUCUAAAUCCUUAACAUAUACUAAAGUCUUUUGAGACAAGUAAAUAUGAAACACAUGCCAUCUUUAAGCAUGUUGUGUGAAAUGUACUUCAUGAAUUGCUUGUUUAAAAGGCUGUUUUCUUUUUCAUAAUAUUAGCGAUUUAAUCCUUAUUUGUUUCUGUGUAAGUGGCCAAAUAAGGCAGAUACUGCUUUGAAGUUCUAUAUAUAUAGGAAUUGAGGAUCGGUUUUAGCUCGCUUGCUACUAUGACAGUCUAGUUCUUAUGAACACGGUUCUAUAUGGUCCUUCCAUUUCUGAAUCAUUUAUAGCAUUAAUUUUACUACUCUUCUCAAGGAACCAUAAUUCCACCCGAAUUUCAAGCUGCUGAAGAGGGAAAAUGUUGUUUAACAAAUUAAGUACAUUCUUAAUUUAUUUGAUUAUUUUUACUACGUAACAUAACCGUAUAAAAAAGGUAUCUUGAAAUGGGAUUAUGGGCUGUGGAAUGUUAAAAAGCACAAUUAGUAAGGACGCAAAUGAGCAAAAAGAAAACGAUUAUUUGUGAGGAUGUGCUGUCGCGCAUGGAAUUCGAGUAACAGGUGCGUGGUGAUGAGAGAAUUAAGAGUUAUCGUUAGAACCCAGUCAGGUAAGAAUUUUAUACACCCAGGAAUCAUAAAACCUCAGUUCCCUGGUUAAUUAUGGAAUUGCUUAGAUGGUGUUAUACUGUAGCAACUUCUCAAACAGGCACCGGAGAAUCAAGAAAAUGAUACGACUCCAGACCACCAGUCCCUGUACCAUUCUACAUCAUUUAGAAGACUUCAAUGGCCACCCCCAUCACAAUGCAUGUGCUUCUGCACUUUGUUGCUGGUAAUUUCUCCAAUGUAUCUGAUCACUUGAAGAAAUAAUAGUAAUUGAAAUAUGGAGAAUGCAUGCAAUGAAGAAGUUACACGAGUUCUUCAUGUAUCUAUCAAGGAGAUCAAGAACACAUAAAAUAACCAAAGGAAUACACAGACCAAGUUCUGAAGAAAUAGUCUCUCUGAAUUCUGUUAUCAGCCUGUUAAAUCUGUAAUCAGGGAAAAGUUGUGGAAAGAAAAUAAGAGCAAAACAUAACUCUAAGCCAGUGGAUCACUCAUCAAAAUCAAAAGAAGGCAAUUUAAUUAGAAAGGGAACACAUGAGAUAUGCACAAAAACAAUCAGGAGAAUAAAUUGUUGUCCAAUGAGAGAAAGAAGACGCGUGUAUUCUUCAAAACCUGUUGAAUGUUAUGAUCAUAUCCUAAAAAGAACAUCCCUUUGUAGGGCUUUUACGUCAGAGGGCUAGAACAUAUACUGCAAUUUUAUCAGCAUUAGUUCUUCUUUCUGUGCAUAAUCAUGUGAUUUACCAUCCACAAACUAACUUCACAAAAAGAUGGUGCCAACAGAAUGCAACAGAGAAAUAAUUAAAAUUGUUAAGAUAAUGUUAUCACAUACUCAUGCAACAGAUUUUGGGAUAAGUAACAUAAUGGCUAUGUCGAUCUUCAUCUGGAUUUCUAACCCAGGGUAGUAGUACUGUACCUACAUGCAGAAAAAAAUAAGCAUGUAACUUUCAAGUACAUCUAUCACAAGCAUCCAUGAAGUUCUGAAAACAAGAAAAUUUUCUAACAUAUAUAAAGAAGGUAUGGGAAGGGGAUGUUUCACAUUCAUCAGAGAACAUCACAAAGAUUCUCCUAAUGCAAUCAUCGACUUUAUUGGAAGAAUCAAAUCACUGAAAUAUCGAGCUUCUUCUAUGCAGAUUAGGAUUUGGAAGCAAGAUCCAACAUAUCUAAUAUAAAACUGUAUGGCAAAAAGUUUACUUUUCGGAAGGGAAAUAAAAACAGAUGAAGGAAAGACAGAGAGGAAGAAUCCCGGCAUUCAGUCACAUGCAGCUAUAUAAUAUUGGAAGGUAAGCAAAGAUUCAACAAACGUAAAUACACAAAAUUUGAAACAAGUUAUGAAAGGAUCGAUAGCCUAAAUGCAUUGCAUCAUCAACAGUUCAAAACUCUCUUAAACUUCCUAAUUUAAUUCACAAAAAUCAUCUAGUUGCUAUUACAAAACCCAGACCAUAAUAAUAAGUGACACCGCACCAACCAACCUUGACUGCUACUGCUUGACGAUCUUUCAACAUUGCAAGAUGCCCCUAGGGCAAACGACGCAGCAGCUGUCAUUUACAUAAAAAAAAUCCAUAAUUCAACAACAAAUUUUCACCUUCAACAUCUCAGAAAAGAAAAACAAAGAAAAUACAGAACCGAAACAUAAAUCUCCGUUAAACAUCAACCCAAAUUGCUUUCAAGAACUUAUUUUAUAUCGUUGAAACUACUAGGAACUGCCUUCAUUAUACCUAACCGAAAAAAAUUAGCCUACGAAACAGACAUAAAUUCUUCGAAAUCGAAAAUAAACAAACGUGCACAAGCAAAUAAAAAAUAAUUGCCCAGCUUUCACAUAAAAUCCUUCAUUUUCUACAUAAUUUCAAUACCCUCUUUGCCGAUUUAAUUAAUUAGAUACACUCAAAAUCAAAACUUUAAUUUAUUCACUAAAUCACAAAUUAACACAUAAAUUAAAAUAAUAAACUUUAAUUUAUUCACUAAAUCACAAAUUAACACACAAAUUAAUGAGAUAACCUCAUAUAAAUCAAACAAAAAUAAAUCUUGAAGCUUAAUUCAUAAUUAUCAAAAUAAAUCAUGAAACCUAAUUCAUAAUUGAUUCAAAGUUGAAUGAUGAAAUUAAAAAACAAUUACCAACUAAUAAAGAAAAAUAAACUCGAGUCAACUGGGUUAACCCGCAUACUUAUGACCCGAGUCAUGAGAUUGAGACAAUCUCAUAGAAAACAAACUAAAAUAAAUUAUGAAAUCUAAUUCAUAAUCAACCCAAAGUUAAAUGGUGAAAUUGAGAAAAAAAAUAUCAAUUAAAAAAAAACUUGAGUCAACCGAGUUAACUCGUUCUGAAGUAUGAAAUUAGAAAAAGAAAAAUAAUUAUAGAAAAAAAGCAAAAACAAAUUAUAAGACUGUAUAGUUAAAGCAUCUUUUUUUAAAGUCUUGUUGAGGAGAGCAAUUGAACAGUAUUUUUCUAAAAUUUUGAAUAUUUUUUUAAAAAAGGAUUCAAAACAAUAUAUUUAGUAUUUUAUAAAUAUUUUAAUGGCAAAUAUAAAGAAAAAAUGGUAUUUAAAAAUAUUAUUUUAACAUAUUAGAAAAAAAAACUUGAAUCAACCGAGUCAAGUUGUUUUGAAGUAUGAACUUUGGAGAAAGAAAAUAAUUAUAGAAAAAAAAACUAUUAAAAUGAAUAGCAUUUUAUAAGGCUGUAUAGUAAAAUCAUUAUCUUUUUUAAGCCUUGUUGAGGAGAGUAAUUCAACCGGUAUUUCCAAAAUUUUGAGUAUUUUUUGAAAAAAGAUUGAAAAUAAUAUUUUUAGUAUUUUAUAAAUAUUUUAAUGAGCAAAUAUAAAGAAAAAACAAUAUUUAAAUAUAUUUUCAUUUUUUUAAAAAAAAUACCCUACACCAAAAAUAAAAAAAAAACACUGCCUUAUUUUCUGAUAUGUGUUUGAAUUAUUGUCUUUGGCCAUUGAAAUGUAUUUUAAUUUUAAAAGUUCUUUUUGGUGGAAUUUAUGUGCGUUUACUAAAUGCACCCAUUUCAUUAAACGAGCUUAGCCGGUGCACUCCUUCGGCUUGGACCCGCAUCUUUUUAUUUUUUCACUCAAAAUGGUUUGUGGAUGGGUUCGUACUUCGUAGAAUAUGGGUAACCCCAUACCUUUUGCAAAGACCUAAUAGAGCAAACAGUUGUUUUUUUUCCGUGAUGAGUGAGUUAAUUAUUAGGAUAGAAUAAUAUAUAAAUUAUAUUUCGAGGUUUUAUCUAAUAAUUUAAAUUAUUGAAUUAAAAUAAUUUUUUGAUAUGGUAUUAGAAUUUUGUUGACCAAAUAAUUACGAUGUUAUUUUUUUAUUUAUUUAAUAAAAAUUAAAUAUAAAAUAAUAUAAAACUUGAUUUGAAAAAGUUUGAUAAAAAAAUAAAAUAUUGGAAUCAAGGACAGACAAAUAUUUUAAUAGUUUGGAAAAUUGGUGGUUUUGAGAGCUUAUUAUUCAAUGUAUUUAAAAAGAACAUUUUGAGAUCAACGCACGCACCUAACGCAAGCCAGCAUGUUCCAAGCUGUCAUUUGGACUCUGAUUGAAUGAGUCCACGUGACAUUCAAAAUUAUUUUUUAAAAAAGUUUUUUUAUUUAAAAAUAUAUUAAAACAAUAUUUUUAUUUUUUAAAAUUUAUUUUACAUCAACACAUACGCAAUUCAAACAACAUCUUAAAAAAACUCAAUCUCUCGAACUAGAAAGGCUCAAGAGCUUACAGGCCUCUAAUGUCUGUAUAUGUGUGUGUGUUUCAUCGUCCAAAGAGCAUUGCAAUAAGGCCACUUGCUAAAUCAAGUCAAAUUUAAUAAUUACAGCACAAAGGAACUCUUUCGAUCUUUGAUUCAUAAAAUAACUUGGAGUCCAUGUGCUUUGAUUUUGUCGAGGAUUCUCCCAUCUAUUUCAUGCUUCCUCACUUCGAGACCAACUGACCAAGUGUUUUAGUUCAAGAGUUUUUAAUUAAACGUUGGAAACCUACUUCAAAACAUUGCAUGAUAGUAAGCAAAAUUUAUUUUUUUUAGUUUAAUGUGACCAGCUUACAUGCACCUUAAUUAAUUCCACGCAAACUCAUCAUUUAGAUUAUAAAUUAAAAUAACUUUAUAAAAAAUAAAUUAUAAAAAAUUAAAAUAAUCAAUUUAAAUUAUCCUAUCAAACUCUCGAGUCAUGAAAUUAAAAUAAUUUUAUAUGAAAUAAAUUAAAAUAAACAUUGAAGCAUACUCAUUAUUAAGAAAUGAAAUUAAAGAAAAAAAUAAUUUAAAAAUUAGGCUUAUGUAUUUGUUAAAACUCAUUUGGGGAUCUUGGAAAUGGCUUCCUCGUAAAUCUUGGAAGAAACAUUUUGAGAUCAGCUCGCGCACAUAACGCAAGCCAGCAUGUUCCAAGCUGUAAUUUGGACUUUGAUUGAAUGAGUUCAUGUGCCAUUUAAAAUUAUACUAGGGUAUUUUUUAAAAUAUUUUUUUAUUUAAAAAUAUAUUAAAAUAAUUUUUUUAUUUUAAAAAAAUAGUUUUUACAUCAACUCAUUAAAUAAAAUAAUAAAACAAAAAAUUAAUGUUAAGCAAAAAAUUUAAUUUUAAUAAAACAUUUUUUGAAACGCAACUCAACCAAUAUCCUAGAAGUAGUAAUCUUUUGAAAAAAUGAAACAACAAAGAAGGCAUCUUUUCAAGACCUUGCAUAUCUUCGCACAAAUUUUCUAGAUUUUCACCUCAUAGAUGAGUAAAGCUUGAAGAAAUUUCAAGCAACCAAUCCCACCUUUUGGCAAACGCUUCUGCUUAGUAACUAGAAAUAAAUAUCCAAGGCUGAUCAUUAUAAUAAAAAUUAUAAGUAACAAAUAAUAUAAAUGGUUAGGGAUUGAAAGUUUAUAAUUUGAAAAGUUAGAGAAUUAAACUAUACGUUUAGCCUCAAGUUUAAAAAACUCAUUUUUUUUGCCAUGCUUUUCAUGUUAGUCUCAUAUCUUUGAAUCUUGCACUUCCUUAGUAAAUGAACUUAAAUUGGCCAUUAAUUUUAGCCUAUAAGGAUAAUAAUAAAAAAAGAAGAAGAAGAAGAGCGACCAAAAACAAAGAAAAAUUAUUGUGGCAAUCCAUUAUAAUAAAGAAGGUUGUCAUACCGUUGAAACAGGGCUUCGCCGCCUACAAUAGGAGAUGGUCCCGACUCAUUACCAUGGAAGUCAAAAAAUUUCUAUUUAAUUAGGCGUAGGGUCAAAGGGAGGAGUGUUAACCUGCCCUCCCUUCGCCGCCUACAAAGAAAGGCCCAUUGGUCGAUUGGUUAAGUCUUCGUUCCUCUUUUUUCUAAAGUUCUUAAGACGGUUAGAUUUUUUAGGUAAUAAUAACAGGGUAUUUUGAAUUGGAAAGGGCAGAAGGUACUGUAAUCUAUUUUAGAACCCCGUGGGAAACCGACACAAGUAAACCAGCGGGAAAGGAAAAGCUAUCAAUCACAAUAGGCGCAGGAGAUCAAGUCUUAAGUCUAGCAUUACUUUAGUUCAAGAGUGAAUAAGGAAGUGCAAGGCUAGCUGGCAGCUGUCUGAUGAGUUCAUCGCUCUCUAUGGCCAUUUGUCUUUAAGCUUUAGGCUAGUUAGAAAGGUUAUGACAUGUGGAUCCGGACUCAGAGGAUUAUGCCGCCUGGCCCCUAAAACACAACUAAGGACGAUAGUGGGUGCCCAAGAGGAGGCGAAGUCCUUUGAAAGCGAAAAGUCUUGUGUCCAGAGGGACGGCGAGGAGCAAUCAACAUCUUAAAGCAAGCAAGCAAGCUCCGGGCGAGGCAAGCAAUCAAGGUUCCAAUUACCUUCCGCGUUCACUUCAGAUAUUAAGGAAAAAGAUGUGGGCCACUCAAUAGCGUGCUCAAUAUAAGCGGAUCAUCCAAGAACCAAUGAUCCAGCCAGAACGACGUGUUAUGCCCAUCGCCUAUGAGGUAUUUGCAAUUCAGCAUCAAAGAAUAUUAGAGCCGUUAGUAGCUCCCGGCUUCGAAAGAGCAAGGAUGGCAAGACAUACUUUUGUCUAAAUCAUUUUUGAGUUCAUACGCAGUCGAAACAUCAUAGAAUUAGCUAAUCCCAAGACCAACUUCAUCUAUGGGAAGAGUUCAUAUACAGCUCCAAAUUUUUUCUGACAAUCACUACCACUAUCAAAUGGAUAUCUAUAUAUCCAUUUGAUCCAUCUGUUUAAUUCAGCCCUGAUAAAUACAACAAAAUUUGAAACAAGUUACGAAAGGAUCGACAGCCUAAAUGCAUUGCAUCAUCAAUCAACAGUUCAAAACACUCUUAAACUUCCUAAUUUAAUUCACAAAAAUCAUCUAAUUUUAUUUUUUUACCAGGAUAUCCAAACCAGUUUAUGUACAUCUUGACUAAAUCUUCAAACUCUUAUGCCCGUACCCAUAGAAAUUUUCCAUACAAAAACAUGGUAAAUCAUUGAUUUUUUACAUCAGAGGCAAUGGCCCAAGAAAAUAUAUUCAGUGAAAUUUAAGCCCUAAACCUAUGAGGGAGUAUAUCUCUUAAGCUCAAUAUCCUUACCACUAGACUAACCCCUUAAUGAAAAAAAUAAAUCUUCUAAUUGCUAUAACAAAACCCAAAUCAUAAUUUCUUCUUUUAACAUUGUUUGUUUUUGUGUUUCAAAAAUAUUUUUAGAAAAAAUUAAUAUUUUUUUUUUACUUUAAAUUAAUACUUUUUGGUACUUUCAUAUCAUUUUAAUAUGCUAAUGUCAAAAAUAAUUUUUUUAAAAAUAAAAAAUAUAUUAUUUUGAAACAUUUCUUAUUGAAAAACAUUUUAAAAAGCAACUGCAACUUUCUUGACGAUCUUUCAACAUUGCAAGGUGCCCCUGGGUUAGUUAAAAUUAUUUUUUUGUAAAAUUUGACCACAUACUUGUUGUUACCCAAAAUUAACAUCCAUCAAUAUAAGUAAUUAAUGUAAUAACACAAUUUUUAUUUAUAUUUUUUACAUAAAUACUUUUAUUAACUUUAUUGAUUUUAAACUUAUUUAACAAUAUUAUAUUAUCAAACUUUUCAUGUAAUUAUUUAAAAGCUUGUUUCAAACUACAUAAUAACUUCACAAGUUUAAAAUCUUUUUUUUUUAUUUUCUUUAACAACAAACCUCUUGCGUUGUUUUAUAAAUACCUCUCCGUCAAAAUCACCAUUUAAAAAACUAUUUUUCCAUAAAUUUAAUGUAUUCCUAAGUUGUUAAUAAUUGUAAUAACUAGUAAGAUACAUCAUAAAAGUUAUUAUGAACAUAGAUAAGUAUGUAGUAAAAUAAUAUUUUUUUGUUGUUGUCUGAAAUCUUUAACAAUAAAUCUUGUUUUGUAUUUUUGGAUGGUUCUAUUAGCUUUCAGUUUUCUCUUGAAGAUAUAUUUAUAGCCUUGAAUGAAUAUUUGGACGGUGAGUAUAGAUCUUUAAUCUAUAGUUUGAUGAGACCACCUAAGCUAUUUUUCUUUGAUUUCUUAUGUGAAUGAAUUUUUUAUAUCUUUUAUAAGGGAAAAUGUCUUCAAAAAGUGUACAUUCAUGUUCAAUACUUGAUUUAUAUAUAUAAAAGAAAUCCAUAUACACUAUCAACGAAUACACAAUCCACUCCAGAGUUAGAAACGAUAAGCUCAGUUUGGCAGUCAUAGAGCCUGUCGAAGCAGAGAAGCUGGUUAAAGUUUGUGCCUUUAACUGGUGGAUAGUUGGGAUUGUUGAUAGAUUCUCCAUCAAAGAUUUUGAGUGCUAAAAACAAGAAGGUUGAGGGGGUAAAGAGAAGUGCUGUUUCAGUGAAGGUGAAGAUGGCAGAGAAUGUCCAUUUCUUGGAAAGAAUGAUAGUUGAGAUAAGGCAAAUAUGUGUGUAGGGGAAUAGCUUUAAAUCUUGGCCUAGAAACAUCCCAUGGCCUAGAAGCAAGGAAAAUGACAUGAACGAAACAAAAAGGAGCUCUCCUUGUCUUUUGCACAAGGAAUAUCUGGAUAGUGAUGAUUCAAAUUCAAGUCACUAAUGCUAAAUUAAAGCUUGAUAACGAUGAUUAGAUAAAUUUAAGCUGCUUGUUGCUGGUGGCACAUAGUUUAGAAAAAGGAAAAUCGGACAAAUGAAAUUUUUCAAAACAGAGCUCACAACACCACCCCUACCUCCUCUGCAAGCUGCAAGCUGGUUUCGUUUAAUAUUUUAGCUAUAAAAUCCAGUAUGACGAAAACCAGGUCUGAGUAAAUAUAUUACAAAUGGAAGAGCACCAUAUACAGCUCCAAAUUCUAUAUGACAAUCUCUACCACUAUGGUAUCAAAUCUAAAAACUGUUUGUUUUUAUGUUUUAAAAAUGUUAUUGAAGUAUCAGAGUUUACUGGUAGGUUAUGAAGAGAGAAUUUGCAAUCCACGACGGUUGAUGCAAUCUGUCAGCAAAAGUGAAAAUGAUUAAAACAUGGUUAAGUAAUUAUUAGCUUAGAGAAAGAGCGAGGGGAGGUUUUUACCGACGGUGGAGAUUGUGCAAGAAGAGGAAGGCGUGUAUUGGAGAGACGAAUUUGUUAGGGAAGGAGUCGGGGUGGUUGUGGUGGUAUAGAUAGUGAAGGCGGCGCUGCUAGUGGUUGCUGUUAGUGUUUAAAGUUCGGUUUUUCUGGUUAAAGGAAGCUAGAAGUUUUGUUUGAGGGUCAUUUUAUUUUGCAAGAAGAUGGCGGUGGCUGUGGUUGUGUCGAUGAGUUACUUGUUUUGACGGCGAGGUACACGGUGGUAAUGUUUGUUUGAAAAAAAAAAUGAAAAAACAGUUUUUCAAAAAUUGGUUAGGAUCAAGGGGUGGUUUUGGAGUGUGUUAGGUAUUUUUACUUAAAAUAUAUUAAAAUAUUUUUUUAUUUUUUUAAAAAUAUUUUUAACAGUUACAUAUUAAAAAAAUUAAAAAUAAAAAAAUAAUUAAUUUAAGCAAAGAAAUUUCAAAAUUUAAUGGAAAACAGUGUACAAAUUUAUAAACUUUUAAUAUGUUAUUGGAUGUCUCUUCGUUAAGAUCUUUGAAACUCAUGAAUGAGACAUUGCAGUAAGUUUGAGAUUCUUGAUGACUGUUGUAUUAUUAGAAACAAUUAGCAUAAUUAUUUAAAUAAUUCAGAACAACCAAAUGUUUAUCAAUUUAUUAAUGACAAAUCAUCACACACAAUUAGCCAAGAAAAUUACACAAAGCAGACACUCCGAGCCUUCAGCUGAUCUUAGCAAGAGACCAACUGUCGUAGAAGAUCUUGGCCGACUUAGACAAACAUAGAAUUUAAUAAUGAUGUAUUAAGUUAUGUAUUAAGUUCAACAACGAGGGAGCAAAUGAACUGAUUGGCAACCAUUAUGAACAAAUGAAAAGCCAAGUAGAUUGUCAGCAAAUUGAAGUCCCCGAAUUAUAACCCCAACGAAAGCUGAAGAAAAUUAGACAAACAUAGAAUUUAAUAAUGAUGUAUUAAGUUCAAAGAAAUUUAAAUUGCUGAAUGAAUUAGUCAACUUUGCAUUUUAUCAUGACAUACCUUGUCUUCUUCUCUUGCUUAUGGAGUUCCACUUGAACCUGCCUCUCCAAAACACAAGAGCUUUUGUCAGUUUUUUUUUUUUUCAAAGCUAAUAUUGUUUUCAGGGAAAAUAAUUUAAACGAAAAAAGGAAUUGAAGAAUGGAUAAAAAUGUAAAACUAAAUAUGAUAGAUUUAAAUAUGGUUUGCUGCUGCUACCUGCAUGAGAUGUCUCUUCACCACUGUUAUCACUGUCAACCUUGAUUUUAGGGAUAUAUUUGAUCUUGGGCCAAUCUGUCAACCUUGAUUUUACGGAUAUGUUUGAUCUUGGGCCAAUCUUCUCCUGUUACUCUUCGGCACCUUUUGCUCAAACUUGGACAGUCUUUGAUCUCAAGAUUUUGAAGUUUAUUUAAAUUGCCGAUGCAAUCUGGCAUUUCUUCAAUGUUUGGACAAUCUCUAAUGAUAAAUGUUUGUAAGGAUUCUGUAGAUCCUUGAAAAAGUUGUUCUGGUAAAGCAAUAGUUGAUGGUAAGUUGUCAAAUAUUACAAUACAAAGGGAAAGGGAAAGAGGUAGAAUUGUUUCCCUUUUUUUUUUUCUAUUAUCAUUAAAUCAAGCCUUUUACAUUCAUUAAUAUAAAAUUCUUCUAGAGUAGUUAGGCAUUUUAUACUUCGUGGAAGAGAAAUCAAGCUAUUACAUUCAACAAUAAGCAAUUUUCGAAGCCUUCUAAGACCUUGCAUAUCUUCGCACAAAUUUUCUAGAUUUUCACAAUUAAAGAUGAUUAAAGUUUGAAGACACUCCAAACACCCAAUCCCAACCAAAUUUGGAUGGAACCAAAUUUGCUUGCAUUUCUCCACUAUUUCUUUCCCGAUUCCAACCAAAUUUGGAUGGAACUUCUUUUGCCCUUCCUUCCAUCUUUUGUUUUUUUUUUAUUUUACUGCGAAUGUUUGGGUUAGUUUACGCGUAUUUCGACUAAUCUCUCAAGACCUUAAAAUUAAUAAUCAUGUAAGUUUCAGUAGCUCUGAGGUUUGUAGUAUUUGGUAACCUCUGAGGAGCAAAUUUAGGGUUUAAUCAGUUAAAUUAUAUCUUUCAGGUUGUAAAACAACGAAAAUCAAUGCUGUUAAUUUUAUUUUUUUUAAAUACAUUUACAAUGCUUUGUCAUUAUUAUUUUUACGCUUUAAAAAAAAUCAUGUUGGCUUACAGCGAAGCAUGGACAAACUUUUUAAAAGUUCUGUUGAUUACUAACUACAUAUUUAUCAAGGGAACCUUUUAUAAUCAAACUAUCAUUUUUUCUUUUUUGUUUUGUAAGUUUUUCAUAAACGUAAAAUACAACAAUUCGAUCAAUAAUAAAUUAAAUAUUCUAAAUUAGAAAAUUAAGAAAAAAAACCAUGAAAUAAAAGUUGAAAGCAAAUUGACGCAGCAGGCAACACAGAGAUUGUACGUAACUUCUAAAUAGUUGUUUGCUUGCAAUAUUUGUCGUUGUAAAUUAUGAAAUGGCUGCUUGGGAUGCUAUUUGUGUGGGGAAGUGAGACUUUUUUUAUUUAGGUGAUGGAGUAUUCAUAUAAUUGGCUAAUCAGCAGGCAUCCACCAUCUUUUAAAUAUAUUUUUGUUGAUUUUAUUUUUUAAAUUAACAUUGUUAAGAAUUUAGCUUUAUAAUUUAUUUUAUUUUUAUUUUUUUAUAUGAUGUUAACGUGGUUUACAAGUUUGAUGGGUUGUUUUUUUUUUUAAUUGAAUUUAACUUUUUUUAUAGUCUAUUUUUUUCUCAUAUGGUUAAAAAAUAGUCUUAGAGAAAAGUUAUGUUAUUAAAUUUUAUAAAGUAACAAAAAUUAAAGGAUGUGAGGAAACCGUUAUUCACCCACACGCAUUGCACUGUAAAUGACAAUAGUAAACCACGGUGUUUUGCUUUCUUUCCUUUUUUUUUAUGUUUUUGAAUUUGUGUCAUGAUUGUUUUUUUAAAUUUGUUUUUAUCGAUUUUAUCUUUUAAUAUUGAGAUGUUUAAGAAUUUGGUUUCAUAAUUUGUUUCCUUUUAUUUUACCUUUCUAUAAGAUUAGCAUGGUUUGCGGGUUUGCAAGGGUAACCCUAGUUGCCUUGAUUUAUGAGUUUGGUGGAGUGUUUUUUUUUUUUUAAUUGAACUUAAGUUUUUUUAUCAUCUAUUUUCUUCUCAUAUAGUUAAGAGAAAAAGUUUCAGAAAAAAGUUAUGUUAUUAAACUUUAUAAAGUCUGUGGGUCUAUUCACAGGUUUGGUUGAUUAACUUGGUUCGCGGGUCUAGCAAGUUUAACUUUUUUAAAUUAGUUUUUUUUUCAUCCUUAGAUACUAAAUUAAUUGGGAAUUUAGUUUCAUAAUUGGUUUUGUUUUGCCUUUUAUGAGGUUAUCGUAAUCUAAAAAACAUCUCAUUAUUAGGAUUGUGUUUGAUUUUAUAAUCAUCUAUUUUUUUUAUUUGUAUAGUUAAAUAAAAAAUAGAUUGCAAUUUUUUUUAUAAUCCUAGUGGAGUCCAUAACUCAAUUCACAAGUUUGACGUACUAACCUGGCUUACCCGAUUCAUAGAUUUGACAAAUUUACCCACCGAUAUGAUAUUUUUUUUGUUUUUAGUCUUUUAAUUUAUUUUUUCUCAGUUUUAUUAUUUAAUAUUAGAUUGGUUGAGAAAUGUACUGUAUUAUUGAUUUUUGUUUGCUUUCUAAAGAUAAUUAUUUUAAAUAAAUAUUUAUUUUUAGAUUAAUAUUUAAUUUUAUAACCAUCUGUUUUCUAAUAUGUGUAUGAAUUAUUGUCUUUGGCAUGUACCCUUAUCUUUGACCAUUGAAAUGUAUUUUAAUUUUAAAAGUUCUUUUUGGUGGAAUUUACGUGUUUUUACUAAAUGCACCCAUUUCAUUAAAGGAGCUUAGCCGGUGCACUUCCUAACUUUUGCAAAGACCAAACAGAGCAAACAGUUGUUUUUUCGUCAAUUAUUGCCUACAAAUCAAUUUCUUAUUAUGAGUGCAUUACAGCUGCGUAGCAUAGUAAUAACUUGUUUAUUUUUGUAUUUUAAAUGUUUGUUUUAGAAAUUUUAAUUUUUUAAAAUUUAUUUUACUUUAAAUUAAAUUUGUCUUUUUUUUUUAAUGUACUGAUAUGAAUUAAUUUUUUUUAAUUUUUUAUAUCAUUUUAAUUUAAAUUAAAUUAGGGUGGAACCAUAAUUCCACCCUUGAUGUUAUUACUUAAUCUUUAUUUAUAUACAAAAAUCUCAAGCUGCUGAUUAGGGAAAAUAUUGUUUAACAACUCAAUUACGUUGUUAACUUAUUUGAUUAUUAAGGCAUAUUUAUUUUUGUAUUUUAAAAGUAUUUUUAAAAAUAUUUGAAAAUUUUUUAUUUUUUUUGUUUGAAAUUAAUAUUUUCUGAUAUUUUCUGAUUAUUUUAAUAUACUAAUAUCAAAAUAAUAUUUUAAUAUAUUAAAAAAAAAACGCUUAAAAAAAUAAUCAGACUGUUAUACUCUCAANNNNNNNNNNNNNNNNNNNNNNNNNNNNNNNNNNNNNNNNNNNNNNNNNNNNNNNNNNNNNNNNNNNNNNNNNNNNNNNNNNNNNNNNNNNNNNNNNNNNNNNNNNNNNNNNNNNNNNNNNNNNNNAUGGCCCGAACUAGUCCUAAAAUAUUUUCUUUUGAGCAUGGCCAGGAAAAAAAAAAUCAAAUAAAAAAACAAUAAAAAUUAUCCUUUACUUUGUGGUGAUUGAAGGAACGAAUGUAUGAUGGUCAUCAAAUCUUUUACUUUGAAAAAAUUCUUCUUAAGAAUCUAUCCUUUACUUCGAACUUCCUAAGCAGUAAGCACAAUAGCAUAAACAACCCUAGUAGAAAAGCAAGCGAUGUCUUUCUCAGAAUAUAAGAUGCAUCAGAGAUCAAAGAUGAUCAUGUUCUAUCCUAUCUUGCGUACUUUCUCAGGAGUUUUCAAUUAUGAUUGUAAGGGGCGGAGCAAAAAAAAAAAAUAUUUAGAGGGGGCCAAAUUAUAAAUUAGGAGGGUCAAGAAAAAAUUUUAGUUAUUUUUAUUAAAUAUUUACAAGAAAGGGGCAUUUUCUUGCAGGGGCCGGGGCCCUUCCCAACCCCCUUCCCUCCGCCACUGAUUAUAGUGAUGGCAUACUUUCUAAGGAGUUUUCAAUUAUGAUAGUGAUUAUGAUUCUAAUUAAUUUUAUUUAGAUUUUAAAAAAUAAACAAUACACAAUUAAUAGCAAUGUACUAGUUACAUGACCUGCGCGAUGCCGCAGGUUAAUUUUUUUACAUAAAAAAUAUAAAAAAAAACUAAGAUUUAAAAGUGUUAGGUUUUUCUGCAAAACUAUACGCAAGAGUCUUGGGUUUGGCUGCAACGCCUGACCUAAGGAUAAUAUUUAUAAUAUUAAUAAUAACAUCAAACUUGCAUGACCCAAGUUUAAGUGAGUUUGACUGCAAUACCAAACCCAAUAGCCUUGGAUGUAGGUCUGGCUGCAAGGUCGUGUCAUAAGAGUGUGAUAAUUAAAUAGAUUAAUUAAAAUGAAAAAAACAAAGAAAAAAAACCAACAGAAAGAAAAAAAACUAAUGAAGAAAAAAAAAUCUGAAUCAAUUGGGUUAAACUGUCAAACCUGAGAUCCACGUCAUGAAAGGUUGAUAACUAAAUAGGGAAAAAAAUUAACGGGUUUACUGAGAAUUAACUGGGUUAACUUGUCAAACCCGGAAUUCGUGUCAUGAAAGUCUGAUAACUGAAUAGAAAGAAAGUUAACAUUAACAAACUAAACUAAACUAAACGGAAAAAAUUAAUUAAAAAGAAAAAAAAUCCGGGUUAACUUGUCAAACCAGGUUAACCUAUCAAACCCGAGAUCCGUAUCAUGAAAGUCUGAUAACUAAAUAAAAAAAAUUAACAAUAACAAAUUAAAUCAAACAAAAAAAAUUCAUUAAAAAAAAACAAAAAAAAUUUAAAAAAAGAGACAGUUAAGCGUUUCAUUUACUUUUAGUAUAUGUUAUAAUAUAAUAUAAUAUAAUAUAAUAAUUAUAAUUAUAAUUAUAAUAAUAUAAUAUAUUAAUAAUGGGGUAAGUGUAAAAGGCGUGGGGAAAGUAAAUUGCUAAUGGCAUAAAGUUUCACUUUGUAAUAAUAAUUGUUUUUAAUUACUUUGAUAAUUUAAUAUCCUUAAUUGACGGGAGUUUUUACUAUAAUAGAUUAUUGUAAGAAAUAUCACAUAACACAUUUUUGGAUAACUCCUCCAAAGCUUCAAAUAUUUUUUUAAUUUUAAUCUUUAAAUUCUCAUAAUAAUUAUGAGAAAUAACAUAGUUAUUAUUCAACCUUUAUUUUAUCUUCGAACUUGUCUUUACAAUUUUUAUGUUAACAUCCCCACUUAAAAUCUUCGACUACAUGCCCACAUAAUUGUUGAAUCCACUGGUUUUGUUUAUCUAAAUCAAAACAAAUCAUUAAUAAAACCCUUCAAGUAUAAUGCAUGUUGUGCUAGAAAAAAGAGAGAAGGAAAUAAAGCUUUUUGCAUGCAGGGGUGGCUGGCAGAGGCAUAAUCUGUAAAUUUUUUUCCCGUUUUCCCUUGUGAAAAAACAUUAUAACCAUCCACAGUAUUUUUUUUUAAAAAAUACAAAGCAAAAUCGACAAAGAUCAUUUUAAAAAAAAAUAAAUUCAUAAAAAUAAUAAUAAAAAAAUCAUGUAGAAAAAUAUUGUAGUAAUCCAUAAUGUUUUAAGAAAAAAACAACAGAACUAAAUUUUCAACCAAUUCAAUAUUAAAAAAAAAAGACAAUCUUGAAAAAAAAAACAAUGUAAAGCCCAAAAAAGGGAAAAAACAAAAAAAAAUUGUGGGAAAAAAACACAAAAAAAAAAUGAAAAAACAAAAAAAUGGGGAAAGUGUAAAAGGCGUGGGGAAAGUCCCCACGCCUUUUAGAGUAUUAUAUAAGAAAAAUCGACAAAGAUAAUUUUUAAAAAAAACACACAAAAAAGAGACUAUCUUGGGAAAAAAAAUGUAAAGCCUAGAAAAGGGAAAAAAAACGAAAAAAAAUGUAAAGCCUAGAAAAGGGAAAAAAAUGAAAAACAAUGUGGGAAAAAAACAAAAAACAAAAAGGAAAGCCAGAAAAAAAAAAGAACAAACAGAAAAAAAAAGAAAAAACAAAAAAAAGGGAAAGUGUAAAAGGCGUGAGGAAAGUUACAGUAUUUUCCCUACGCCUUUUAGAAUAUUACUUAAUACGAAGAUAUGAGAAUAUUAAUCAAUCAUUAAUGAUAAAGUUAAUAAUUUUAUAUAAAAAAGCAUAUUUUAGAGAUAGAUUUUGAAAAUAUUUUAACUAUAAAAUCCAAUGGAUGGAGGGAGUGGAAGUACACAAGAGAUGAAAGAAUAUCUAGCUAUUUGACCCUCAACAAAUAUAUUUUUUUAAAAAAAUGUAUUUGCAGAUUUUUACCUGUUUUUAUACAUAAAUAAAUCUCAAAUAGAAUUUAAAAAGUUUAUGAAUUCAUAUAAUUAAAUAAAUUAAAAACUAUUUAUGCAACAAAAAAAUUAUUAAGCUCGAUCUUUACUCAAUUAAAAAUUAAUAAGCUAAAUAUAUAAUCCGGGUGAUUAACUCAAUUAGAUCAAGUAAUUUUCUUGAUGAUUGUUGUAUUAUUAGAGACAAGUAGCUUGCUCCUUCUCCUCCCAACUUCAGCUUUUAGUUUGUUUAGUAGGGACGAAUUUAUAUGUUAAGCAUAAUUAUUUAAAUGAUCACACACAAUAUUUUAAAUAAGAUAAGUUGAAUAAAAUAAUUAAAGAGGCAAGCCAACAAUUCAGAACAACCAAAUGUUUAUCAAUUUAUUAAUGACAAAUCAUCACACACAGCUAGCCAAGGAAUUUAAAAGAUAAAAAAAAGGAAUUGAAGAAUGGAUAAAAAUGUGAAACUAACUAUGAUAGAUUUAAAUACUCAUCANNNNNNNNNNNNNNNNNNNNNNNNNNNNNNNNNNNNNNNNNNNNNNNNNNNNNNNNNNNNNNNNNNNNNNNNNNNNNNNNNNNNNNNNNNNNNNNNNNNNNNNNNNNNNNNNNNNNNNNNNACAAUCAAUGAUCUCAAGAUUUUGAAGUUUCUCUAAAUGGCCGAUGCAAUCUGGCAUUUCUCUAAUGUUUGGACAGUCUUUGAUGAUAAAUGUUUGUAAAGAUUCUGUAAAUCCUUGAAGAAACUGUUCUGGUAAAGCAAGAGUUGCUGGUAACAUUGCAAAUAUUACAAUACAAAGGGAAAGGAAAAGAGGUUGAAUUUUUUCCUCUUUUUCUUUUUCUAUUGUCAUUAAAUCAAGCUUUUCACAGUCAAUAAUACCAAAUUCUUCCAGAGUAGUUAAGCAUUUUAUGCUUCGAGGCAGAGAAAUCAAGCUUCCACAGCUAAUAAUAAUCAAUUUUCGAAGACUUUUAAGACCUUGCAUAUCUUCGAACAAAUUUUCUAGAUUUUCACACUCAAAGAUGAUUAAAGUUUGAAGACACUCCAAACACCCAAUCCCACCUUCUGGCAACCGCUUCUGCUUAGUAAUUACAUAUAAAAAUCUAAGGCUGAUCAUGUACCUCACAUCUUUGGGCAGCACUUCUAAUCCAAAACCUAAAACCAGAGCUUGCAAGUUUUGUAAUUUGAAAAUAGAUUUUGGGAGUCUUUUCAUUUUUGUGCUCCAAUGAAAAUGGAGAUAUCUCAAAUGUUUCAAGGCGCCAAUCCCCUCCGGAAAAGCCUCAAAUUCAGAAUCUUCCAAUAAUUCCAAAGAUCGCAAAUGCUUAAAUUCUGACAAAGAUUUCUCAAAAUCUGUUUUGCAUGUAGGCCCCACUAUACUAUCUGCAAAGACUAUUGACCGCACAUGGUGGAACUCAUUUGAAUACUUGGGGAGAGUUUUAUGAAAAAAUGAAUCAGAGUCAAGAACUGACAAAUGACGGGUCGUUUUGGAAAUAUGGUGGUUUUGAGCCAAUGAUGAUGCAAGAUCAUGCAUUAAAUCAUGCAUUUUAAAGGUAGCUGCAAACCACAUAACCUCAUAAUCUUGGAAGAAACAUCUUGAGAUCAACUCGCGCACAUAACGCAAGCCGACAUCUUCCAAGUUCUCAUUUGGAUUUGAUGAUUGAAGAAUGAGCCCAUGUGCCAUCCAAACUUGCACCAAAAGGAGAUCUAUGAACGGGUAAUCUUUUGGAAAAACCGAACAAUAAAGAAAGCAUCUUUUCAGGUGCGUCGGCAGUCUUUGAUAGCUUAUUUUCAAGGCAGGUAAAAUACCAUCUCCCUCUUCUUCCCACUUCUCACUGUCUCUCACCGAUUUCCACUCUUUUUCAUCAGUCUUACCAUACAGUUGAGUCCCCAUGUUAAUCACUGCCAGAGGAACUUGCUUGCAUUUCGCCACUAUUUCUUUCCCAAUUCCAACCAAAUUUGGAUUCAACUCCAUUUUCCCUUCCUUGAAUGCACACUUGUAAAACAACAACAAACAGUCCUCUUGACCGAGAAGACUUAGGUUGUGCGUAGUAACAGUACCCAUAAUCUCAGCAACACGUUGACUACGGGUAGUUACUAUAAUCUUACUUCCAUCAGCACCUUUUGAUAACAAAGGCUUCAACAACAACCAUUUUUGAGCAUCUUCAUUCCAAACAUCAUCCAAAAGAAGCAAGUAUUUCCUACCAUUCAAAAUUUCUUCAAGUUUUUUAUUAAGUUCACCCUCAUCCAAAUCCGCACAUCUUUCCCCAGUUGCAGAUUUAAUAAUUUUUCGUAUCACAUGUUUCAAGGAAAAUUCAUCAGAAACACAUGCCUCCAUAUUCAGUUUAAAAUGACUUUUUACAUUUUCAUCAUCACACACCGAUUUGGCAAGAGAUGUCUUCCCCAAGCCUCCCAUUCCUACUAUCGGAAGGACAAGGGGAUGUGCAUCACCAACCUUAAAAGGUGCAAUUAAAAGGUUGAUGAUGCGUUCUUUGUCUUCAUCUCUUCCGAUAAGACCGGAAAAGCUCUCAAAGGAUCGGUUCAUCUCUGUUUCCUCAUGCGAGACAUGACUACAAUCAAUA